RNAcentral lists this small RNA (215 nucleotides) under Bacillus velezensis. RNAcentral describes it as "BsrG". It matches the Rfam family "BsrG", at positions 1 to 219 of the family's 259-position model. From Rfam's summary of the family: bsrE, bsrG and bsrH pair through intermolecular interactions with antisense sRNAs. Lineage: Bacteria; Bacillati; Bacillota; Bacilli; Caryophanales; Bacillaceae. The record is from RNAcentral.
UAUGCUCACUUAAGGGAAUCUUGGAGUCUUGGAGUCUUGCUCACCCCCUAUAGAAAGGGGGUGAUGCUUAUGUCAACAUUUCAGGCAUUAAUGUGAAUGCUUGAAUCGCCCUGUUGACGUAUAUAAAUAAAAAAUAGACCUCCCUUGAGCCUGAAAACCUGAAGGGUUAGGUCUAUCAUGAAUAACAUAACAUCUGAGCAAGCCCUUUGAUGGGG